UGACCUCGGAUCAGGUAGGACUACCCGCUGACU
This 33-nucleotide ribosomal RNA is filed under the name Ceratocystiopsis sp. WY13TX1-3. RNAcentral describes it as "partial 28S large subunit ribosomal RNA". The record is from RNAcentral. Lineage: Eukaryota; Fungi; Ascomycota; Sordariomycetes; Ophiostomatales; Ophiostomataceae.